AUAGCGUAUAUUAAAGUUGUUGCAGUUAAAAAGCUCGUAGUUGAACUUUGGAUCUAACCAGCCGGUCCGCCGCAAGGCGAGUACUGGUUUUGGUUGGAUCUUUCCUCCUGGCUAACCUUGAUGUCCUUUACCGGAUGUCUUGGCGAACCAGGACUUUUACUUUGAAAAAAUUAGAGUGUUCAAAGCAGGCCUUCGCUCGAAUAUAUUAGCAUGGAAUAAUAGAAUAGGACGUAUGGUUCUAUUUUGUUGGUUUCUAGGACCGUCGUAAUGAUUAAUAGGGACAGUCGGGGGCAUCAGUAUUCAAUUGUCAGAGGUGAAAUUCUUGGAUUUAUUGAAGACUAACUACUG
This 348-nucleotide ribosomal RNA is filed under the name uncultured eukaryote. RNAcentral's name for it is "SSU rRNA". It matches the Rfam family "Eukaryotic small subunit ribosomal RNA", at positions 594 to 945 of the family's 1831-position model. The record is from RNAcentral.